AACGAACGCUGGCGGCAUGCCUAACACAUGCAAGUCGAACGAGACCUUCGGGUCUAGUGGCGCACGGGUGCGUAACGCGUGGGAACCUGCCCUUAGGUUCGGAAUAACUCCCCGAAAGGGGUGCUAAUACCGGAUAAUGUCUUCGGACCAAAGAUUUAUCGCCUUUGGAUGGGCCCGCGUUGGAUUAGCUAGUUGGUAGGGUAAAAGCCUACCAAGGCGACGAUCCAUAGCUGGUCUGAGAGGAUGAUCAGCCACACUGGGACUGAGACACGGCCCAGACACAGAGGGGAGGAGGCAGGGGAGAACACGAGGAAGGGGGCGAAACCCAGAUCCGCCAAGGCGGCGUGAGUGAGAAGGGCCGGGGGGUUGUACAGCUUAUUCCGCGUGAAUAAUAAUCACGAGACCGGGAAAACAAGCCCCGGCCAACUCAGGUCAGGCAGCCGCGGUAAUGGUCGAAACCCACACGUUCGAUC
Molecule: ribosomal RNA, 473 nt
Filed under: uncultured bacterium
Lineage: Bacteria
Description: partial 16S ribosomal RNA
Rfam family: Bacterial small subunit ribosomal RNA
Source: RNAcentral